GAGUUAAUAAUUUCAUAGUUUUGGAGCACUAACUCGACACAAAAGGAAGAUACAAAUUACAACCAAAAGGCAGGUUCGGAAGGUUCAACAAAAGUAACCUGCUAUCAAGCUAUAAGCUUGAAAAGGAUAAAUAAUGAGAGGGUGAGUUCAACAACUCAGUGAGUAGAUAACAUUCAAUAUACACAUACGAGGUAAUAUAACAAUGAGAAAUAUAUAUACAAGUAUGGCUUUAGUUCUUAUACGAAGGUUUAUCAAAUAGGCCAUAACAAGAAUAUCAUAUGGUAGAACUCGUCAGAAAAUAAAAAUGCAAUGAGCAUGAGGCUCCGUACUGUUGGAUGAUCAGUCCACACAGGUUGGUGACUCCCCCGACCAACUAGGGUUCAGAUACGAUGUGCACAAAGACUAACACUACCCUGUUAGCAUGGGUAUUCUGACUGACAUACCAUAGGUUCAUAAUCAUAAUCAAACAAACAUAUUCAUAUCUCAAAGCUCAACUCAUGACAUCCAUCAAAUGAGGAGCUAUCAAUUCAGAAGUCAAAUCAUAUUGGUUCAUAUCAAGAAAUCAGAUUCAAUAAUUGAUCAUGCUUUAUCAUAUCAAGGAUAAUAAUCAGCAUAUAUAUUAUCAAGAAGCAUGAUCCAAUUCAUAUUAACAAAUCAAAUAUUUAUAAUAUUUCUCAUGCAUAUGGAAAAUUAUCCACUCACCUGACUCAAAAGCAAACAACACACACAAGCUGAAACCGAAGGAAAUUCUACUGACGUCCUGCCGGUAGAAUAUCAGGAUUAUCUGAAUACAAAGGAGACAUAUUCAAAAACGACUCGAAAGAACAUUUAACCUAUUUAAUACACUUAACUAAGGGUGUAUUCCGUAACCCUAUAUGUUUUUGAACUAACUAGUCAAUUUUCUUAAAAACCCAAAAUCUAACGGUUUUCCCGAAAUCUAAUCCAUAAUAAAAACAACUAAUAAAAUUGGUAAUAAUUCACUAAAUAACCCUUAAUUAUUCAUCAAACUAAUCUGCAAAAGCUAAUAUUACAGCUAGGGACUAAUCUGGAAUUUAUCAUAUUUUUAGGGCCAAAUUGUAACUUUUGUCAAAUGGAGGACCAAACUAAAAUUUGUCAUAAAUCCAUGAAUAUACUGAAAUUCUGACCUUAAUUAAUCCUCAAUUCUGUCCAGGAUGUAUCAUUAUGCUUCAGGGAUCAUUCUGGAAUUUUACUAAAUUUUUAGGGUCAAAUCGUACUUUUUGUCAAAUUGGAGGACUAAUUGAAAGUGUUAAAUUCUUAUCUAUACAGUAAUUAUGUCCAUAAUUCAUAUGCUAUUGUCAGAAUCUCGGAAUAUGCUCCAGGACCAAUUUAAUUUCCAAAGUUCGGGGACUAAACUGAAUUUCGAAAUUGAGGGACCAAAUUGAAUUUUCGUCAUCUUCAACCUCCAGUCCAGAUUUUAACAGAAACCCCACUGUUCCCCGAUUUCUAACCAUUCACCAUUUACACAAUUCUAUAACUCAAAAUCAUCAUAAUCUCCAUAAUCAACUAAAUCAUCAAUAAACACAACAAUCAACCCCUAACCUUCAAUUUAAUUCAUCAAUUAAAUCAAACAACAAAUUCUCAAAACCCUAACAUUCAUAAAAACUGAAAUUAAAGCUUAAUUAACAUAUUAUACACAUUAAACAACCUAAAUCUUACCUUUUCACUUAUUUCCUCCAAUCUCUUCCUUUUUCCCUUAUUUUCCCCUUUCUCUUCUCUCUUUCCUUCUCACUGCCGAUCUCUCCUCUCAAAUCAGAUUUUUUUUUUUUACUUCCUAUUUAUAUUUAUCAAUAUUUCCAAUUACAUAACCCUUAUUUAAUUUAUUCCAAUCUAAGCCUCAAGGGCUUUAGUUCCUAUCCUUAAUACAAAACAUCACAAUCUCCCCACCUUAUAAAAGUUUCGUCCUCGAAACUUAAUAGAAAAGAUUGAGUACUUACCGAGAUUAUCGAAAAGAUGAGGAUACUCCUCACGCAUCUUAUCCUCGAGCUCCCAUGUCGCUUCCUCACGUGAAUGGCCUUUCCAUUUCACUUUCACUGAAGCUAUGUCCUUCGACCUAAGCUUCCUCACUUGUCGGUCGACUAUAGCUUCCGGUUGCACCUCAUAAACCAUAUCAUCCCUCAAGUCAAUAGGAUGAACCUCUAACACAUGCGAUGGAUCUGACAUAUAUUUCCUUAACAUGGAAACAUGAAAUACCGGAUGAAUAGCAGACAAGUUUGGUGGUAAUGCUAACCGAUAAGCAACUGCCCCAACUCUCUCCAGAAUCUCAUACGGUCCAAUGAAUCGAGGACUCAACUUGCCUUUCUUCCCAAACCUGAAUACUCCUUUUGUAGGUGAUACUUUUAAGAACACACAAUCACCCACUGAAAACUCUAAGUCACGCCUUCUUCUAUCUGCGUAACUUUUAUGUCUACUCUGAGCUGUUUGAAGCUUCUUUCUAAUUACCUCAAUCUUCUCUGAGGUAAUCUGAAUCAACUCCGGUCCCAUUAGCCUCUUCUCACCAACCUCAAACCAACAAACCGGUGAUCUACACUUCCGACCAUACAAAGCCUCAUAAGGUGCCAUCUCUAUGCUAGCCUGAUAACUGUUGUUGUAAGCAAAUUCCACUAAUGGUAGGAACUUACUCCAACCAACUCCAAAAUCCAUAACACAAGCCCUUAACAUAUCCUCCAAGGUCUGAAUAGUCCUCUCAGACUGACCAUCUGUCUGAGGGUGAAAAGCUGUACUCAACUGCACCUUAGUACCCAUAGCUUCUUGAAAUUUCACCCAAAACCGCGAUGUAAACUGUGGACCUCUAUCAGACACUAUCGAGAUUGGCACUCCAUGCAACCGUACAAUCUCACUAAUAAACAAUUCCGCCAACUUUGCAUAUCCAUAAGUAAUCUUAACUGGCAGAAAAUGGGCUGAUUUGGUCAACCUGUCAACAAUCACCCAUAUCGAAUCAUAACCCUCCUGACUCCUAGGCAAUCCUGUCACAAAGUCCAUUGUGAUCCUUUCCCACUUCCAUUCUGGAAUCAACAAUGGUUGUAACAAUCCAGGAGGUUUCUGGUGUUCACCCUUUACCCUCUGACAGGUCAAACACCUAGAAACAAAAUCUGCUACAUCAGCCUUCAUCCUAUUCCACCAAUAACACACCUUAAGGUCUUUAUACAUCUUGGUGGAACCUGGAUGCAUUGUGUAAACUGUCUGAUGUGCCUCUAUCAUCAAUUCUCUCCUCAGAUCAUCAACAUCAGGUACACAAAGCCUAUCCCUAUAUCUCAGACAUCAUCAUCACCAAUCACAAAACUUGCAGCCUUACCCUGCUCAACCUCAUUUCUAAUCCUGAGUAGUGAAUCAUCUUUCUUCUGAGCUGCUUUUAUCUUAUCAAACAAAUCUGACUUAACCUGAAAAUGAGCAAUCAUUGCUCCAGCUUCACUAAGAUCAAAUCUGACUCCUUCAUCCACUAACUCAUGCAGCUCCCUAAUCAGAGGUCUUCGUACCUCCUGAAUAUGAGCUAAGCUCCCUGAUGAUUUUCUACUCAAAGCAUCGGCAACUACAUUUGCCCUACCCGGGUGGUACUGUAUGGUACAAUCAUAAUCCUUCAGUAGUUCCAUCCAUCUCCUCUGCCUCAGGUUUAGAUCCCUUUGCUGAAAGAUGUAUUUCAAACUCUUGUGAUCUGUAAAGAUCUCACAAGUUUCACCAUACAAGUAGUGCCUCCAAAUCUUCAAAGCAAAAAUUACAGCCGCCAUCUCUAAAUCAUGUGUAGGAUAGUUCUGUUCAUGCUUCUUCAGCUGCCGUGAAGCAUAGGCAAUAACCUUGCCAUGCUGCAUUAGAACACAUCCUAACCCCACUCUCGAAGCAUCACAAUACACUGUGUAACCACCAGAACCUGAUGGUACUGCUAGAAUAGGCGUGUAGUCAAUCUCUCCUUCAACUCUAAGAAACUUUUCUCACAAGCUUCAGACCACUGAAACUUAACAUUUUUCUGCGUUAACUUAGUCAAUGGUGCAGAAAUUCGAGAAAAGUUCUCCACAAACCUCCGAUAGUAGCCGGCCAAACCUAAGAAACUUCUAAUCUCUGUCGCCGAAGUAGGCCUAAGCCACUGCUUAACUGCUUCAAUCUUUUGAGGAUCAACCUCAAUCCCAUUCCUUGACACUACAUGCCCAAGAAAUGCUACACUCUCCAACCAAAACUCACUCUUUGAGAACUUGCCAUACAACUGAUGAUCUCGCAGAGUUUGAAGCAUCAUUCUCAAAUGUUGCUCAUGCUCCUCUCUAGACCUCGAAUACACCAAAAUAUCAUCAAUAAAAACUAUCACAAAUCGAUCAAUAAAUUGUCCAAACACUCUAUUCAUCAAGUCCAUAAAAGCUGCUGGUGCAUUCGUCAACCCAAAAGACAUCACUAAAAACUCAUAAUGACCAUACCGAGUUCUAAAAGCUGUCUUUGAAAUGUCCUCCUCCCUAAUCCUCAACUGAUGAUACCCAGAUCGAAGAUCGAUCUUAGAAAAGAAUUGAGCUCCUUGUAACUGAUCAAACAAAUCAUCUAUACGAGGGAGUGGGUAUCUAUUUCGAAUUGUCACCCGAUUCAAUUGCCUAUAAUCUAUACACAACCUCAAUGACCCAUCUUUCUUCUUCACAAACAACACCGGAGCUCCCCAAGGGGACACACUUGGUCGGAUGAACUUUUUAUCCAAUAAAUCCUGCAGCUGCUCCUUUAACUCCCUCAAUUCUGCUGGCGCCAUUGAUAUUGGUUCAGUGCCCGGAACCAAAUCAAUACAAAACUCAAUCUCCCUAUACGGAGGCAAUCCAGGUAAGUCAUCGGGAAAUACAUCGAUAAACUCUCUUACUAUAGGGACUUCCUCUAACUGGGGAACUUCUUUCUCUACAUCCACUAUAUAUGCUAGGUAGCACUGUACCCCUUUUCGGGCCAUUUUCCUCGAGAUAGCCGACAACAUAAUUGAUGGAGACCCAAUCUUAUCUCCUUGAAAUACCAACCCAACUUCUUGAUCUAGAUCAAACAUUAUUUUCUUACCCCAACAAUUUACCGAAGCCCUAUGCUUAGCCAACCAAUCCAUUCCUAAAAUCACAUCAAAAUCAACCAUAUCUAAGACAUUUAAGUCUCCCAUAAAGAUCUUAUCUCCAAUCUCUAUUUCACAAUCCAGAUACACAUACUUUACUAAUAUUAACUCAUCUAAGGGAGUGGAGACUGAAAUGGGGGAUUUUAACAAGGUUGGUUGUUUAUCUAACCUCAUGGCAAAAUAUGGGGACACAAACGAAUGAGUUGCACCCGUAUCAAACAAAACUUUUGCUUCAAAAGAGCAAACAGGAAGAAUACCUGAAACAACUGUGUUGGAUGCCUGAGCAUCCUGCUGAGUCAAGGCAAAAACUCUGGCAUGCCCCUGACCCUGCUGUAUCUGACCUCUAUCACCUGCACCCCGACCUCUUGACCACGGCCACCAAAACCUCUACCCCCAUGAGCCACAGACUGGCUCGUCGAUGGUGCCUGAAUAGGCUGGACUGAAGCAGAUAACCCCGAAGUGGACAACUGUCUCCUCGGGCACUCUCUAAUCUUAUGACCUAUCUGGCCACAACUAAAACAAGCCCCGGUCCUUCUAUAGCACUCUGCACUGUUAUGACCUCCUCCACAGUGCUGACACAAAGAACUAUCCCCAGAUGAAACAAAUGAACUACGAGGUGCAGUCUGAACUAAACUCUGGGCACCACUACUGCCACUCUGACUGCCUGAGCCACUAACUGAUGGUCUCUGUCUAAACCUCCUCUGAACCCAUGAGCCCUGACGGCCACUUCGUCCCCUAAACGGACCUGCACUUAAUCCAUGUUGCCUAAAAGACUGACCCUCUUCUCUAGGCCUCUUAGACUGGCCAGCAGUCAUGUCCUCUAUUUCACGCGUCUCUAGCAAUCUGGCGCUAUCAACAGCUGAGGAGUAGGAUGGAAACACUUGUGGCGCCAAAUACCAUAUACAGAGAGGAUUUGAGUCCUCUAAUGAAUCUCUUCACCCUCCAUUCCUCAGUGGUAGAAGAUAUUCUGCAUACCUAGACAGUUGAGUGAACUUCAGAUCAUACUCCUCCACUGUCAUGCUCCCUUGAGAUAGCCUCUCAAACUCAUAAAGUCGAGCAUCCCUGAUGCUCUGAGGGAGAAACCUGUCUAAGAACAUGGAGCUAAACUCCUUCCAUGUCCACUGAGCCUCUACUGGUCUUGCUCUUUCCCUAGACUCAAACCAAGAGAUUGCCACAUCUCCUUCCAACCUGAACGAUGCCAAACUCACAGCUCGGUGGUCUGUACAUCCCAAAGCUUUACAUCGUCGCCAAAUGUCAUCUAGGAACUUUUGAGGAUCCUCUGAACUGUCUAUCCCAGUAAAAAUAGGAGGUGCCAACUUCAUAAAGUCAUCCAAUGGCACAUUAACUCCCUGAACAGUGUGGGAUGUCGAGGGUACAUCUCUAUCCCUCAUUCUGUCUCUCUCCAUAGUAAACUCUAUCCAAGUCUGCACAACCUGGCUAAGUCGCUGAACCUCUGUAACAGGCUCAGGGUCAGCUACCCCCACACCUGUUUCAUCAACCAUAUCUUCCUCUUCUAUCUCCUGAGGCUCUUCCUCCACUGGUGGAGGUACCUCAUCAACAUGUUGAGGCACAGAUGCACCACGCCUCCUUCUCUGCCUUGCAGUUAUCAACUGCAUAAUAGCUCUUCCUCCACUGGUGGAGGUACCUCAUCAACAUGUUGAGGCACAGAUGCACCACGCCUCCUUCUCUGCCUUGCAGUUAUCAACUGCAUAAUAGGGACAUCAUCCUGAUCAUCAUCUACCCUAAGAGUAUCAGUUCUUCGUCUAUUCCUCGGCAUUUCCUAAAAUAAAAGAGAGAUCACUUAAGUCAUGCUAGAACAAUAGCAUGAUAAUUAUCUCAGAAUUAUAGGAAAGCAUAUCUAUCACAAGGAAGAAGACAUACUUGAUGAGAAUUUAAAAUUUCAAAAACAACAAACAAGACGAUACGGAUCCUAAUGCUCCACUUAUUAUGAAAUUAAUUAUAUUAUUGUUUCUUUAACCUAAAGCUCUGAUACCAAGUUUGUCACGACCCGAAUCCCGGAUCCAUGACCGGCACAUAGGCAAGGUUCCCCUCCAAGGUUCCAAACCUAUGCGAACCCAAACUUACAUACAAUCCUUUAAACAACUCAAUCAGAGUUUAACGCAGAAUUAACAACAAACAACUUCAUAAUAUAAUGUAAUUGUCUUAAUACAAGAGUUAAUAAUUUCAUAGUUUUGGAGCACUAACUUGACACAAAAGGAAGAUACAAAUUACAACCAAAAGGCAGGUUCGGAAGGUUCAACAAAAGUAACCUGCUAUCAAGCUAUAAGCCUGAAAAGGAUAAAUAAUGAGAGGGUGAGUUCAACAACUCAGUGAGUAGAUAACAUUCAAUAUACACAUACGAGGUAAUAUAACAAUGAGAAAUAUAUAUACAAGUAUGGCUUUAGUUCUUAUACGAAGGUUUAUCAAAUAGGCCAUAACAAGAAUAUCAUAUGGUAAAACUCGUCAGAAAAUCAAAAUGCAAUGAGCAUGAGGCUCCGUACUGUGGAUGAUCAGUCCACACAGGUUGGUGACUCCCCCGACCAACUAGGGUUCAGAUACGAUGUGCACAAAGACUAACACUACCCUGUUAGCAUGGGUAUUCUGACUGACAUACCAUAGGUUCAUAAUCAUAAUCAAACAAACAUAUUCAUAUCUCAAAGCUCAACUCAUGACAUCCAUCAAAUGAGGAGCUAUCAAUUCAGAAGUCAAAUCAUAUUGGUUCAUAUCAAGAAAUCAGAUUCAAUAAUUGAUCAUGCUUUAUCAUAUCAAGGAUAAUAAUCAGCAUAUAUAUUAUCAAGAAGCAUGAUCCAAUUCAUAUUAACAAAUCAAAUAUUUAUAAUAUUUCUCAUGCAUAUGGAAAAUUAUCCACUCACCUGACUCAAAAGCAAACAACACACAAGCUGAAACCGAAGGAAAUUCUACUGACGUCCUGCCGGUAGAAUAUCAGGAUUAUCUGAAUACAAAGGAGACAUAUUCAAAAACGACUCGAAAGAACAUUUAAUCUAUUUAAUACACUUAACUAAGGGUGUAUUCCGUAACCCUAUAUACUAACUAGUCAAUUUUCUUAAAAACCCAAAAUCUAACGGUUUUCCCGAAAUCUAAUCCAUAAUAAAAACAACUAAUAAAAUUGGUAAUAAUUCACUAAAUAACCCUUAAUUAUUCAUCAAACUAAUCUGCAAAAGCUAAUAUUACAGCUAGGGACUAAUCUGGAAUUUUUCUAUAUUUUUAGGGCCAAAUUGUAACUUUUAUCAAAUGGAGGACCAAACUGAAAUUUGUCAUAAAUCCAUGAAUAUACUGAAAUUCUGACCUUAAUUAAUCCUCAAUUCUGUCCAGGAUGUAUCAUUAUGCUUUAGGGAUCAUUCUGGAGUUUUACUAAAUUUUUAGGAUCAAAUCGUACUUUUUGUCAAAUUGGAGGACUAAAUUGAAAGUGUUAAAUUCUCUUAUCUAUACAGUAAUUAUGUCCAUAAUUCAUAUGUUAUUCUGUUCAGAAUCUCGGAAUAUGCUCCAGGGACCAAUUUGUAAUUUUCCAAAGUUCGGGGACUAAACUGUAAUUUUCGGAAAUUGAGGGACCAAAUUGAAUUUUCGUCAUCUUCAACCUCCAGUCCAGAUUUUAACAGAAACCCCACUGUUCUCCCCUGAUUUCUAACUCAAUUUUCACCAUUUACACAAUUCUAUAACUCAAAAUCAUCAUAAUCUUCCAUAAUCAACUAAAUCAUCAAUUAAACACAACAAUCAACCCCUAACCUUCAAUUUAAUUCAUCAAUUUAAAUCAAACACAAAUUCUCAAAACCCUAACAUUCAUAAAAACUGAAAUUAAAAACUUAAUUAACAUAUUAUACACAUUAAACAACCUAAAUCUUACCUUUUUCACUUAUUUCCUCCAAUUCUCUUCCUUUUUCCCCUUAUUUUCCCCUAUUUUCUCUUCUUCUUCUUUCCUUUCUCACUUCUGCCGAUUCUCUUC
RNAcentral lists this long non-coding RNA (9032 nucleotides) under Populus tremula. Its description in RNAcentral is "long non-coding RNA (PTRE_LNC000671)". The record is from RNAcentral. Lineage: Eukaryota; Viridiplantae; Streptophyta; Magnoliopsida; Malpighiales; Salicaceae.